Molecule: unclassified non-coding RNA, 4318 nt
Filed under: Helicoverpa zea (corn earworm)
Lineage: Eukaryota; Metazoa; Arthropoda; Insecta; Lepidoptera; Noctuidae
Description: tigger transposable element-derived protein 2-like, transcript variant X1
Source: RNAcentral
GCACUGCAGUUCAGUGUGGUAAGCUUUUUGUUCGGAACGUUCUAUCUAGUACGUAGUACAUAUAUAUCGAUGGUCUACACGUCAUUACACUCGUUCCCUAAACAUUUAAGGAGUCUUGCGCUCGAUCGGUAAAACAGUAUAGCAGUUUAGUUCGAAUUAAGAAUAAUAGAUGUCGCUAUAUGUCAUUCUGCGGAAGUAAAUUGACUUCCAUUUUUAGUCGUUUUUUAUACUCGAAGAACGAGUGACACGUGGUGUGAAAAAAAAUAGAAAAAGGUGCAAAAUCACAAAAAUUGGAGCGUAAAGUGAAUUGAUUAGCCUGUGACCAUGGUUAGCAACUAUAAACGAAAAACGAGCAAAGGCUCAUAUUCAAAAGAAAAAUUACAAGAGGCAGCACAAGCUGUUAGGGAUGGCCGUCUGAGUGGCUAUAAAGCUGCUCAGAUUUAUAAUAUACCCAGAAUGACCAUUAUGGACCAUGCAAAAAACAGGCGAUAUAAAUCGAAUUCUCUAGGUAGAAGCACUGCUCUAUCUAGAGACGUCGAAUCAAAAUUAGCUUCGUUACUACAUUCAAUGGAAAAAUAUGGAUUUGGAUUAACAAAAAAAGAGGUUCUAGAAAUGGUCGGCCAAUAUGUAAGACGUAAUGAUCUAUCGACUCCUUUCAAAAACGGAACUCCAGGUUCAGCGUGGUUUACAGCAUUCAAAGAACGACACAAUUUAUCCGUAAAGAAACCCCAGGCUGUCGAAAUCGCGCGUAAGAAAGCUAUAGAUCCUUUCAUAGUUUACCCAUAUUUUGAAUUGCUUUAUAAUACACUGGUAGAUUUAAAAUUAUUGGACCAACCAUCCGCCAUUUGGAAUGUAGAUGAAACUAGUUUUUCGAAUGAUCCCGAAAAAUCGAAAAUUGUUGGCGCAAAAGGACACCCUUCGACAAGAGUAAUCGCAUCACCUGGUAGAGAAAACACCACUGUAUUGCUUGGUGCUAGUGCGCAAGGAGAAAAAACUCCUCCCCUAAUCAUUUUCAAGGGGAAAAACGUAUGGGAUGAAUGGACAUCUCCAGAUGCUUAUCCCGGCACAUCCUACGCUGCUACGAAGAAAGGAUGGAUGGAGACCGACGUUUUUGAAAAGUAUUUUAAAAAAGUAUUCUUGCCUGCUGUUGGAGAUCAACGUCCGAUUCUUCUUAUUUAUGAUGGACAUGCUACUCAUGUGGGAUUAAACAUAAUCGAGGAAGCGCGUAAAGCAGAUAUAACAAUACUUAAGCUACCACCGCAUACUAGUCACAUCUUACAACCGCUAGAUGUAGCGGUCAUGAAAUCAUUUAAAGCUCGAUGGGAUCCAAUGCUCGUAAAAUGGCAACGUUCGAAUGUCGGAGUGAAGUUGCCGAAGAAAGAGUUUGCGAAGUUAAUUGGAGUGGUUUGGGCUGAAAUUGAUAGUCAAGUUUUAAGAAAUGGCUUUCGCAAGGCUGGAAUUUACCCGUUCAAUUCUGAAGAAAUCCAAGAAAGUUUAUUUGAUCCGUUAAAGCUAAGUCGUUGGAAAGAAUAUCAAGUUCUUAAGUCACAAGAAAGACGUGACUUUGACCAUAAUACUCCAGGAAGGCAUGAAAAUUACCUAAAUAUUUCAAAAGAACUAGUUUCUUAUAAUGAUGAAUCAUUUUUGGUCGCUACAACAAACCAGCCACAAAGUCUGUUUUAAUUAGCUUUUAAUUGCACAAUAGAAGAACUGUACCGUAUUCAGAAAAAUGAUUUGGAGUCAGGCAAAACAAAAAUUAUAAAAGAAAACCAAGUUACAGAUUCAGAAUUUCAUCAAAGACUGGCACAAGAAUCUUUCGUUUCCAAUAAGGAGUUGAAACACGUUGACAAUAGCAGUAAUAGGGUCCAGAUAUUAGAAAAUAGACGAAUAACCUUUGAAGAACUAUUAUUGAUGCAAGUUAAAGCUGGAGCUCAUGUAAAAGUCAAAAGACAAAAAAUUGCUCCCGGAGCUGAAGUUAUAACACAUAAUGAUGUUGUUAAGCGUAAAAUGGAAGAAAGAAAUAAAAAAGAACCGCAGACAAAGAAAAAUGCGACCAUGGUAAAAAAACAACCUAAGACUAACUAUCUAACCAAAAAAGGACGAAAGAAAACACAAAAAAAGUCCAAUCCAACGAAACAACAUUUGAUAUUGAUAGUGACCACGAUGCAGAUAUAACACCAAAGCGAGAUGCGUCGAUUUAUGGUCCGUCUACUUCAACAGGAAAUAUAGGUAAGCAAAGCUAUACGAAAAGAAAGCGGCUGCCAUCAAAUGACUCCAUAACUAGUAUUUCUGAUGUGAUGAGUCUAUACAGCGAUACGGACAUCAGCCUUGAAACACUGUGCGAUGAUGACUUUGAUAAUGAAAUCUAUUGCUUAGAAAAAAACUGUUUAAAUGUGAAUCAAGGAAAUGCUAGUAGCAAUGACGACUUACAGCUUAAUCCAAAAGGUAAACUACAAAAGAAAGCUCCAAAAAGUAAAAAUAAAGAACCGCAAGCAAAGAAUAAUAGGACCGUGAGAAAAAAUAAAUCAAAGAUUACUAAGUUACACAAAAAAGAGAAAAAGAUUACGCAAAUAAAACAAUCUUCCAACGAAACAACACCUGACGUUACCAGUGACGACGAUUUAAGCACCACGAUAACUGAUCUUGAAAUUGACAAAGAAAAUUCGGUUCCUGUAUCUCCUGCAUCAAAUGGAAAUAAUUCACUUUCCCGUCCAACUACUUUAACAGGAAUGACAGUUAUGAAUAGAGAUGUGAAACGAAACCACCUGUCAUCAAUUGAUUUCACAACUGUUGAUUCUAAUAAAAUGAAUAUAUUUAGCGAUAUAAAUAUGCACAUUAGUAUUCUAAAUGACGAUACUGAUGUCAAUUGUACUGUAAAAGAAAACAUUGUGAAUCAAAAAAAUAUAACUGACAAUGACAUCUUACAACACACGAAUUACAACAUAAAUGAUUCCGUACUAGUGAGAUACCGUAUGAGACAAAAGUGGACCUAUUACAUUGGAUUUAUAGAGGAUAUCAAUGUUGUGGAUGACGAAACAUAUUAUUUUAUAGACUUCUUAAAAACUGUAAAGAAACCACAACUAGUUUUUAAAAUGACCAAAAGAAAAGACCGUGAUAAUGUACCAGCUCCGUCUAUAGUUAAAAAGAUCGAAAUAGAAAGUGUUAAUGCAAAACAAUAUAACCUAUGCAAUAUUGAAGAUGAGGUAUAUUUUUAAAUAAGAUUGUACUUUUUAUUCAAUAAUUAUGUUAUGCUUGUCUAAGCUGAAUUGACGCGCCCACUACCUAAUUUUAAAUUUGCUUGUGUGUAAAAUGUGGCAGUGGGCGCGUCAUUCUAGCUUCUAAAAGCUCUAAAAUUGUUUUGCAAUUUCUGUUUGUUCUAUUUUGGUUUAAUCUAUGUCUGUUUGUGUAAUUAAGAAAACACAUUGCAUUGUUUCCUUAUUUUUACAUACUCUACGGGUUUUAUAGAGAAUACUCUGGUAAUUUUAAUAAUAUGAUUAAUGAUAAAAACCAAAAAUGGUUAAUGAUUAUUGAUUUUCUUACGACUAAUUAUUAUGUAUGAUUAUUAUGAUCAAAGAAGAAGAUGGCAUAGCUUUUUUUUAUUUUUAUAACGGAUUUUACGGAUUUUAAAGAGUAGUAAUUAUGAUAAGAAAUUUUAUAUAAUUUUAUUUUAAUAAUAAAAACAAAAUAAUAAGACUGUUGAUUUUAGUGAAUUAUUUAAUUUACGGCUGUGUGUAUGAUUAAGCCAAAAUAUUAUAUUCUUUUCUCAUUUAAGUAAAUGUGCUUUACGGACUAUACUUAUACAGAAUAAUUGUGAUAAGUUAGUAACCCUAUAUUCUUUUAUUAAAACAGAAAAACAAAUAUGACUGGUGUUUUUACAGAUUAGUUCGCUUUCUGUUAAAAAUAUAAAGCUAAUCGUAGUUACUGAUAAACUGCAAUCUUUCAAAAAAGUCCAGCCAACAAAAAGGUGAGAGUGAAUGAACGGGUACGUCAAGUGUUUCUUCUGAAACUUGUUAAGGAUGCUUGAGAAUUGAACAUAUAAAACGUCGUACAAAGGUACCAUUUAUUUGUGGUUUUCUUUAAAAAUGUGUACCAAAAAGAAUCAAAGUUCAUAAAAUUACGUAAAAUAAAAUUACUCACUUUUUCUUUUCGCUUAGGCUCAUUCAUUCUACACCCAACUUGGUUAACUGGACUAUAAAUUCCGCAUUAAAUUAUUUUAAUUAAAUAAGUUAGAAUGUCGUUCCUUACAUAAUUUUAUGUUGAAACAAAUAAGAUUCGAUUUAUAGUGAUUUGUUAUAAGAAAAUAAAACAUUUUUCAGUU